Molecule: long non-coding RNA, 422 nt
Organism: Patella vulgata (common limpet)
Lineage: Eukaryota; Metazoa; Mollusca; Gastropoda; Patellidae
Exons: 3
Source: RefSeq, a predicted model, not a curated record
GUUGUCUGGUACAUGUAUCUGGAAACUGACUAUAAUUUAAUCUCUAAGAAGGGAUUGUCACGGAUCUAUGUACAAAUGUCGUCUUAAUUUACUUACUUACUAUUUUAUGUAAAUGUAGAUUUUCUGUAUCCUCAACACCCCUUUCGUCUCUUUAAAGUAAUGUUAUAUGGUUAACCUUUUAGAUUGAUAAGUAUUUCGUAGAUAAGAAGAUAGCAUAAGAAGACGAAAAUGGCGGUUGGUGACCUAGUAAAGUUUUUGCUCGUUCUGUUCCAAAUUAACAUUAUUGAAGGAGCAUGUAACGGCUGUUCAGACCUACGUGGGUACCAGGUUAUUCAUUAUAAAGAAUCAAGUGAUUUAAUACAAAAUCCGGGGCGGGGCUUCUAUGUUCAAUUUGAGACGAAAGCCAGUUCGUUUAAUCCAUU